RNAcentral lists this ribosomal RNA (506 nucleotides) under uncultured bacterium. Its description in RNAcentral is "partial 16S ribosomal RNA". It matches the Rfam family "Bacterial small subunit ribosomal RNA", at positions 30 to 523 of the family's 1533-position model. The record is from RNAcentral.
AUUGAACGCUGGCGGUAUGCUUAACACAUGCAAGUCGAACGGCAGCAUGGUCUAGCUUGCUAGACUGAUGGCGAGUGGCGGACGGGUGAGUAACGCGUAGGAAUAUGCCUUGAAGAGUGGGACAACAUGGGGAAACUCAAGCUAAUACCGCAUGUACUCGAGAGAGUAAAGCUGGGGACCUUUAGGCCUGGCGCUUUAAGAUUAGCCUGCGUCCGAUUAGCUAGUUGGUAGGGUAAAGGCCUACCAAGGCGACGAACGGUAGCUGGUCUGAGAGGAUGAUCAGCCACACUGGAACUGAGAGACGGUCCAGACUACUACGGGAGGCAGCAGUGGGGAAUAUUGGACAAUGGGGGGAACCCUGAUCCAGCAAUGCCGCGUGUGUGAAGAAGGCCUGAGGGUUGUAAAGCACUUUCAGUGGGGAGGAGGUUUGGAAGGUUAAGAGCUAUUCAAAUGGACGUUACCCACAGAAGAAGCACCGGCUAACUCCGUGCCAGCCGCCGCCGUAA